Molecule: ribosomal RNA, 253 nt
Filed under: uncultured bacterium
Lineage: Bacteria
Description: partial 16S ribosomal RNA
Rfam family: Bacterial small subunit ribosomal RNA
Source: RNAcentral
GACAGAGGCCUCAAGCGUUAGGCGAAAUCACUGGGCUUAAAGCGUGUGUAGGCGGAUCGUUAAGUGUCUUGUGAAAUCCCACGGCUCACCCGUGGAACUGCUGGGCAUACUGGGCGUCUUGGGCCAACUAGGGGCAGCCGGAACAAGCGGUGGAGCGGUGAAAUGCGUAGAUAUCGCUUGGAACGCCGAAGGUGAAAACAGGCUGCUGGGGUUGCGCCGACGCUGAGACACGAAAGCCAGGGGAGCAAACGGG